GACUUAUGCAUGUACUGUGGGGGAUUAGACCAUACCAUUAGAGAAUGUACCCAAUUGCAACGUAAGAAUGUGGGAACAUCAGCGACUGCAGACCCAAGCAAUACUUGAUUCUGGUGCCAGCCACAACUACAUUGACUUUGACUAUGUACACUUAAAUAAAAUACCGUUACUUAAAAAGUUAAA
This is a long non-coding RNA of Bombina bombina (fire-bellied toad), 183 nucleotides long. RefSeq lists it as uncharacterized. The record is from RefSeq and is a predicted model, not a curated record. Lineage: Eukaryota; Metazoa; Chordata; Amphibia; Anura; Bombinatoridae. The transcript is spliced from 2 exons.